UGAAUGUAUGUGGUAGGAUAAGUGGAAGAAAUUAGAGCUUUUCCCUCCUGUUGCCUUUUUGCAGUUCCCCUUCUGAAGUUUUUGAAACUGUUCAAGAAACAGUAGGAUGAACAACUCUUGGUCAUUUUUUGUCUUUUUAUUCUGUGACUCUCAAGUUGAAAAGAAGAAAAAUAACCUGGAUUUACAAAUCAAUCAUGGGGCAAUAAUGAAUUGUAAACCUGUUGAAGAUGCGGAAAAGGUAAACGUGGAAUCAGAAUAUCCCAAGUUGGAAGUGACCCAUAAGGAUCAUCAAGUCCUACUCCUAAGAGAUAUGUAUCAAGAGUUUACGAGAAAUUUGAGUAUUGAUGGCCCAUAUUUUUAUUUCAUGUCAUCAAAGAGAAUGUGGAGGCUACCAAAGACCUGAGCUCCUUCGAACACCCAGCCUAAGAAAACAAUGACCUAUGUCUGGAAAAGACUAAAAUGGCUUUCUUUUCUGUGGGUACUUACUGCAGAUUUUGGGUUAGCUUGACUUGCUAUCAGCAACAUUACUAUUGCC
Molecule: long non-coding RNA, 535 nt
Organism: Gallus gallus (chicken)
Lineage: Eukaryota; Metazoa; Chordata; Aves; Galliformes; Phasianidae
Source: Ensembl